GAUGAACGCUGGCCGCGUGCCUAAUACAUGCAAGUCGAGCGAACAGACGAGGAGCUUGCUCCUCUGACGUUAGCGGCGGACGGGUGAGUAACACGUGGAUAACCUACCUAUAAGACUGGGAUAACUUCGGGAAACCGGAGCUAAUACCGGAUAAUAUAUUGAACCGCAUGGUUCAAUAGUGAAAGACGGUUUUGCUGUCACUUAUAGAUGGAUCCGCGCCGCAUUAGCUAGUUGGUAAGGUAACGACUUACCAAGGCGACGAUGCGUAGCCGACCUGAGAGGGUGAUCGGCCACACUGGAACUGAGACACGGUCCAGACUCCUACGGGAGGCAGCAGUAGGGAAUCUUCCGCAAUGGGCGAAAGCCUGACGGAGCAACGCCGCGUGAGUGAUGAAGGUCUUCGGAUCGUAAAACUCUGUUAUUAGGGAAGAACAAAUGUGUAAGUAACUAUGCACGUCUUGACGGUACCUAAUCAGAAAGCCACGGCUAACUACGU
RNAcentral lists this ribosomal RNA (496 nucleotides) under uncultured bacterium. RNAcentral describes it as "partial 16S ribosomal RNA". It matches the Rfam family "Bacterial small subunit ribosomal RNA", at positions 28 to 506 of the family's 1533-position model. The record is from RNAcentral.